UACGAAGGGGGCAAGCGUUGUUCGGAAUUACUGGGCGUAAAGGGCGCGUAGGCGGCCUUGUAAGUCAGAUGUGAAAUCCCUGGGCUCAACCUAGGAAUGGCAUUUGAAACUACAAAGCUAGAGGACGAGAGAGGAUAGCGGAAUUGCAAGUGUAGAGGUGAAAUUCGUAGAUAUUUGCAAGAACACCAGUGGCGAAGGCGGCUAUCUGGCUCGUAUCUGACGCUGAGGCGCGAAAGCGUGGGGAGCAAACAGG
Molecule: ribosomal RNA, 253 nt
Filed under: uncultured bacterium
Lineage: Bacteria
Description: partial 16S ribosomal RNA
Rfam family: Bacterial small subunit ribosomal RNA
Source: RNAcentral